AGUGGGGAAUAUUGGACAAUGGGCGCAAGCCUGAUCCAGCAAUGCCGCGUGAGUGAAGAAGGCCUUCGGGUUGUAAAGCUCUUUUGCCCGGGAAGAUAAUGACUGUACCGGGAGAAUAAGCCCCGGCUAACUCCGUGCCAGCAGCCGCGGUAAUACGGAGGGGGCUAGCGUUGUUCGGAAUUACUGGGCGUAAAGCGCACGUAGGCGGUUUUUCAAGUCAGAGGUGAAAGCCCGGGGCUCAACUCCGGAAUUGCCUUUGAAACUGGGAGACUUGAUCACGGGAGAGGUGAGUGGAAUUCCGAGUGUAGAGGUGAAAUUCGUAGAUAUUCGGAAGAACACCAGUGGCGAAGGCGGCUCACUGGACCGUUGAUGACGCUGAGGUGCGAAAGCGUGGGGAGCAAA
This 402-nucleotide ribosomal RNA is filed under the name Sandaracinobacter sibiricus. RNAcentral describes it as "bacterial SSU rRNA". It matches the Rfam family "Bacterial small subunit ribosomal RNA", at positions 353 to 772 of the family's 1533-position model. Lineage: Bacteria; Pseudomonadati; Pseudomonadota; Alphaproteobacteria; Sphingomonadales; Sphingosinicellaceae. The record is from RNAcentral.